GACACGACUCUCGGCAACGGAUAUCUCGGCUCUCGCAUUGAUGAAGAACGUAGCGAAAUGCGAUACCUGGUGUGAAUUGCAGAAUCCCGCGAACCAUCGAGUCUUUGAACGCAAGUUGCGCCCGAGGCCACCCGGUCGAGGGCACGCCUGCCUGGGCGUCACGC
RNAcentral lists this ribosomal RNA (164 nucleotides) under Brachypodium phoenicoides. RNAcentral describes it as "5.8S ribosomal RNA". It matches the Rfam family "5.8S ribosomal RNA". Rfam says of the family: 5.8S ribosomal RNA (5.8S rRNA) is a component of the large subunit of the eukaryotic ribosome. It is transcribed by RNA polymerase I as part of the 45S precursor that also contains 18S and 28S rRNA. Lineage: Eukaryota; Viridiplantae; Streptophyta; Magnoliopsida; Poales; Poaceae. The record is from RNAcentral.